This 58-nucleotide transfer RNA is filed under the name Vesicularia montagnei. RNAcentral's name for it is "partial tRNA-Leu". The record is from RNAcentral. Lineage: Eukaryota; Viridiplantae; Streptophyta; Bryopsida; Hypnales; Pylaisiaceae.
GACUUGAAAAAAUCCGUUGGCUUUAUUGACCGUGAGGGUUCAAGUCCCUCUACCCCCA